Molecule: long non-coding RNA, 598 nt
Filed under: Mus caroli (Ryukyu mouse)
Lineage: Eukaryota; Metazoa; Chordata; Mammalia; Rodentia; Muridae
Description: lncRNA (MGP_CAROLIEiJ_G0034545.1)
Source: RNAcentral
GAGGGCACAGUCUUUACAAAAUUUAAAGACUGAUUGAUUGGGUCCCAGCCCAUACUCCACAACUACCAAAACGGACUGCCCAGACCUACCGCUUACCGGGAUGGCUGGAGGGAGUUUGCCCAACUAACACUAAAGAGUGUGAAAUUAAAUAAGACUUUAAGACCGGUAAUCGGUGGCAAACACCAGCUGAAGACACGCCUGACCCUGCGUCCUAUACUUCCCUCCCGGAGGGUCUUUCUUUGAAGGGGAGUGGAACUGCCAGAGCUUAAGCUGAGAAUCUCUAGGUUGAAUGAGAGAUGACCUUGAAAAUCUGUACGACUCUUUGCAAAGCCUCAGUUUUUCUGAAAAGUACAGAAGAAAAAAACCUAGCCUCAAAAAUAGACAAAUCUCAUUAACAACAACUCUUUGCCACUCCAGAAUUCAAAUCUUGAGGCAAAGAAGCCUGUAAUCUAGAGAACCUUUUAUCUUUGAUGCAAAAGAGUCUACAGUAAAAUGAAGCAUUGUGGGAGAUGGUGCUGGGAUGCCUGGGAUGCCCACAGUUAUACUGAGGUUUAAAAGGAGAAAGUAGAAUAUGAUUAGUAAACACGCUGGAUAGAAA